RNAcentral lists this ribosomal RNA (253 nucleotides) under uncultured bacterium. Its description in RNAcentral is "partial 16S ribosomal RNA". It matches the Rfam family "Bacterial small subunit ribosomal RNA", at positions 524 to 776 of the family's 1533-position model. The record is from RNAcentral.
GACGUAGGGCGCGAGCGUUGUCCGGAUUUAUUGGGCGUAAAGAGCUCGUAGGCGGCUUGUCGCGUCGAAUGUGAAAUCUCAGGGCUCAACUCUGACAUUGCAUUCGAUACGGGCAGGCUCGAGUUCGGUAGGGGAGACUGGAAUUCCUGGUGUAGCGGUGAAAUGCGCAGAUAUCAGGAGGAACACCGGUGGCGAAAGCGGGUCUCUGGGACGAUACUGACGCUGAUGCACGAAAGCUAGGGGAGCAAACAGG